RNAcentral lists this ribosomal RNA (275 nucleotides) under uncultured Ohtaekwangia sp. Its description in RNAcentral is "partial 16S ribosomal RNA". It matches the Rfam family "Bacterial small subunit ribosomal RNA", at positions 338 to 611 of the family's 1533-position model. The record is from RNAcentral. Lineage: Bacteria; Pseudomonadati; Bacteroidota; Cytophagia; Cytophagales; Fulvivirgaceae.
CCUACGGGUGGCUGCAGUAGGGAAUAUUGGUCAAUGGAUGGAAGUCUGAACCAGCCAUGCCGCGUGCAGGAAGAAGGCCUUCUGGGUUGUAAACUGCUUUUGCCAGGGGCUAAAAAGCUCAUGCGUGGGAAAUUGAAAGUACCUGGUGAAUAAGCCACGGCUAACUACGUGCCAGCAGCCGCGGUAAUACGUAGGUGGCGAGCGUUGUCCGGAUUUAUUGGGUUUAAAGGGUGCGUAGGCGGCUUUGUAAGUCAGUGGUGAAAUAUGGCAGCUUA